GAUGAACGCUGGCGGCGUGCCUAAUACAUGCAAGUCGAGCGAACAGACGAGGAGCUUGCUCCUCUGACGUUAGCGGCGGACGGGUGAGUAACACGUGGAUAACCUACCUAUAAGACUGGGAUAACUUCGGGAAACCGGAGCUAAUACCGGAUAAUAUAUUGAACCGCAUGGUUCAAUAGUGAAAGACGGUUUUGCUGUCACUUAUAGAUGGAUCCGCGCUGCAUUAGCUAGUUGGUAAGGUAACGGCUUACCAAGGCAACGAUGCGUAGCCGACCUGAGAGGGUGAUCGGCCACACUGGAACUGAGACACGGUCCAGACUCCUACGGGAGGCAGCAGUAGGGAAUCUUCCGCAAUGGGCGAAAGCCUGACGGAGCAACGCCGCGUGAAUGAUGAAGGUCUUCGGAUCGUAAAACUCUGUUAUUAGGGAAGAACAAAUGUGUAAGUAACUAUGCACAUCUUGACGGUACCUAAUCAGAAAGCCACGGCUAACUACGUG
This 497-nucleotide ribosomal RNA is filed under the name uncultured bacterium. RNAcentral's name for it is "partial 16S ribosomal RNA". It matches the Rfam family "Bacterial small subunit ribosomal RNA", at positions 28 to 507 of the family's 1533-position model. The record is from RNAcentral.